ACAGAACAGAAAAAAGGUAUAAAAUUCACCAAUUCUUGUAUAUACUUCGAGCAUGUUUGGGAAGUAUAUAUAAACGGUUUAAAUUAUAAAUAGAUAGAAAUGAGUGGUGGAUGAGUAAAUGAGCGUUUAUAAACAUGAGCCAAACAUAGGCUUAAAUGAUUGCAAGGUUUAUAUGUCCCCUUGAUAGAAAUGCCAAGGGACCUAUUCUGACGAUUUUCCUUCAAAUGCAAAACAACACCAACCAAAAAAAGGAUAAUUUAUUGAUCUAUAAUUUCAAAGUGACGGCGUUUUAACUGAAUUACAAUAUGAUGAUUGUUCGUGUGUAUAUGCAAAAGUUUUUCCAAAUUCAUUCUGUAUCCUAUCUAGCUUUUAGUUAUGAAAUAGUAUGACAGGACCACAGAUUAAUAAGUAAAAAAAAGAUGUUUUACAAGAAUAUUAUUAUAAUCAUAAAUUACUUGAGUGUCUAAAAUACCCCCUCUCUUGAAGAAAGUAGAAUAGCAAUGCAUUCUAUUGAAGUGCCAGCAACUGCAAUCUAAAUAGACCAAAAUACAGAUGAUGCAGAACUAAUACACUCUUUCAAAUUGGCAGAAAAUUAAUAAAGCUGUCCAGAAAAUUAAUAAAGAGUUCAGAUAUAUACAUUAGACCAAGCAAAAUGGAAAAAGAAAAUCAUUUUUUGAAUCUUGGCAUAUACUCUAUUGAUAGCAGAUUUUCAUAAUUAAGAAAAUAGCGAGUGCUCAAUUACGGUACCCGAUUAUGUAACGCGCCGAAAAUUUUAUAGAAAAAUUUAUUUGUUCUAUAUACUAUAUUUUUGAAAGUUGAAGGACUAAAGUGAAAAAGUAUUAAAUUCAAUAUUAUUUUGGGUCAAAUAAUUAUUUCACAACAUAAUAUAUUAUUUCACAACAUAAUAUAUUAGAGAGAGAGAGAGAGAGAGAGAGAGAAUGAAAUAAUUUUAGAAAGCAAAGAGAAAUUUCGAUUUUGUUAUUUUGAUGUAGUCAAGAAAUUUUAAGUUGGAAUGUGAUUAUGAUUUUGGUUUUGGUUUUGUUUCUCCAAAAAUUUAUUUGAUUUGACAAGGUAGGAUAACGAGGUGUUGUUGCUUUUAUCCCGUUUAAAUUGUUUACUUCAUGUUAUUAAAUUAUUAUGCUUAUGAAAGUUUAAAAAUAUGAUAUGAUAUGUAUGUUAUGGCCAUCCAAUACUAAAGAUAUGAUAUUUAUUGAACUCUUACUGAUUUUUUUUGGGAUUGCACCAUGAUUUUUCGUGUCCUACUGAAUAUUUCCAUGUACUCACCCUUUUCCCCUACUUCUCACGGAUUAGAACGGGUUGUUAGUUGGCGGGCGAUGAGGUGCAAUCAUGAUACCAGGUAUUAUGGAACCCAAUAAUAAUAAUUCGGUGAAAUUUGACCAUGGAUUUUAUUUCAAUUUUUGUUUUAGUUUCAUUAUUAUUAUGGAAAUUGUUAUUUAGAGUUAAGAACAUGUUUAUUUGGUUAUGUUUUCCCUAUGUUUUAUUUUUAUUGGUGGAACCAAAAAUUUUGUGUUAAGAUGUUUGAUUCGUUUAUUUAAUUAUGGAAUGAAAGUUUUAGUAAUGAUUUAAAUGUUAAAAUUUGGGUCGUUACAAAUUAUCAUCAUAGAUUCUGGGACUUUUUUCUCUAAAUAAAAAACACCAACCAAAAGAAU
This 1670-nucleotide long non-coding RNA is filed under the name Olea europaea (common olive). Its description in RNAcentral is "long non-coding RNA (OEUR_LNC000068)". Lineage: Eukaryota; Viridiplantae; Streptophyta; Magnoliopsida; Lamiales; Oleaceae. The record is from RNAcentral.